RNAcentral lists this long non-coding RNA (213 nucleotides) under Arabidopsis thaliana (thale cress). RNAcentral's name for it is "natural antisense transcript overlaps with AT1G65420 (AT1G08753)". Lineage: Eukaryota; Viridiplantae; Streptophyta; Magnoliopsida; Brassicales; Brassicaceae. The record is from RNAcentral.
GUGAAGCUUGAAUUUGACAAGCCAUUAGAACCAGUCUCGAGUUUUCUGAGAUUUAGGGUUUUCUUUAUAUUACGUCACAGCGAUCUACUAGACACAAAACGAACGAAUCUUAACGGAUCAUAUCCACAAGGAAUAUGAAAGAACCAGAUUGAUCUAAGAGGAGAAUGCAAGAAGCUUGGCUUGAAGGAAUCAAUGGAGAUUGGUGAAGAUGAG